Molecule: ribosomal RNA, 464 nt
Filed under: uncultured bacterium
Lineage: Bacteria
Description: partial 16S ribosomal RNA
Rfam family: Bacterial small subunit ribosomal RNA
Source: RNAcentral
GACGAACGCUGGCGGCGUGCUUAACACAUGCAAGUCGAACGGAAAGGCCCCUUUGGGGGUACUCGAGUGGCGAACGGGUGAGUAACACGUGAGUAACCUGCCCUUGACUUCGGGAUAACUUCAGGAAACUGGGGCUAAUACCGGAUAGGAAUCCUUGCUGCAUGGUGGGGGUUGGAAAGCUUCGGCGGUUUUGGAUGGGCUCGCGGCUUAUCAGCUUGUUGGUGGGGUAGUGGCUUACCAAGGCUUUGACGGGUAGCCGGCCUGAGAGGGCGACCGGCCACAUUGGGACUGAGAUACGGCCCAGACUCCUACGGGAGGCAGCAGUGGGGAAUAUUGCACAAUGGGCGGAAGCCUGAUGCAGCAACGCCGCGUGCGGGAUGACGGCCUUCGGGUUGUAAACCGCUUUCAGCAGGGGCGAAGCUUUUGUGACGGUACCUGCAGAAGAAGCACCGGCUAACUACGUG